RNAcentral lists this ribosomal RNA (450 nucleotides) under uncultured bacterium. RNAcentral describes it as "partial 16S ribosomal RNA". It matches the Rfam family "Bacterial small subunit ribosomal RNA", at positions 354 to 796 of the family's 1533-position model. The record is from RNAcentral.
GUGGGGAAUUUUGGACAAUGGGCGCAAGCCUGAUCCAGCCAUGCCGCGUGAGUGAAGAAGGCCUUCGGGUUGUAAAGCUCUUUCGGCCGGGAAGAAAUCGGCGACUCUAACAUAGUCGCUGGAUGACGGUACCGGACUAAGAAGCACCGGCUAACUACGUGCCAGCAGCCGCGGUAAUACGUAGGGUGCGAGCGUUAAUCGGAAUUACUGGGCGUAAAGCGUGCGCAGGCGGUUUUGUAAGACAGAUGUGAAAUCCCCGGGCUUAACCUGGGAACUGCGUUUGUGACUGCAAGGCUAGAGUGCGGCAGAGGGGGGUGGAAUUCCUGGUGUAGCAGUGAAAUGCGUAGAUAUCAGGAGGAACACCGAUGGCGAAGGCAGCCCCCUGGGCCUGUACUGACGCUCAUGCACGAAAGCGUGGGGAGCAAACAGGAUUAGAUACCCUUGUAGUCC